GGAUGUGAGGGUGAUCUGGCUGCUACCUCUGUCACCCCAUUGAUUGCCAGGGUUGAUUCAACUGAUCUGGCUGGAUAAGCAGGUGUCCUCUUCCUCCCUCACCGCUCCACGUGUGUUUCCCCUUAAGCUGUGCACUCAGUAGAAAAGGACGACCUUCCCCAAUACAGGCAGUACUGUUCAUGUCACGGGUAUGUGGUAGCUUCUCUCCCCUGCUAGAACCUCCAAACAAGCUCAAGGUCUAGUUGUAGGAGAACNUAGGGUAGUCAAUCUUCCAAGACUGUAGACCCAUCCAAGUGAGGUAACGCAAGUUGCAGUUUGCCAUUCUUU
Molecule: small nuclear RNA, 327 nt
Filed under: Amazona aestiva (blue-fronted amazon)
Lineage: Eukaryota; Metazoa; Chordata; Aves; Psittaciformes; Psittacidae
Description: 7SK RNA
Rfam family: 7SK RNA
About the family: 7SK was discovered as an abundant small nuclear RNA in the mid-70s but a possible function has only recently been suggested. Two independent studies have found that 7SK RNA binds the CDK9/cyclin T complex (known as elongation factor P-TEFb).
Source: Rfam by way of RNAcentral